AAUGAAGUAAACAAUUUCGUGUGUAUGUGAAAAUAAUAUUGAAAUUCUAAAAUGAAUUCUAACAACUAUUAAGAGACAUUAAUCAUAAAUUCUAAUUUAAAAAUUGUUAUUUUUCACACUAUAAAAUAAUAAUAAAAUGUAUAUUUUAAAAUACAAAUUAAAGAACAUAUGGCCGAGAUUCUUAAGUUUGUUAGUGUCAUAAUUAUUUUUCUUUUCAUAUUCUUCGUUGUAACCGAUGGAGUUAUCAUAUGUGAAACUACUAGAUAUUGUCGUAGAGAAAUGACUAAAUGCUUUCGUCCUAAACUUCCAAAGUGUGUAUCAGGGAUAUGUCAAUGUUGCUAAUUGUAGGAAUAAAGUUAAAAAAUAAUUCCAAGUACUUGCAUGUAUAAUGUAUAAUGGUUGUACUUUAAUAAUUUUCUCAAACUUCAACCUAUGUUCUCUGAACUUUCAAAUUAAUUUGAUCCACUCAAAUGCUUAUUAUUUUUUUAUACAAAAAUGCUUAUUAUUUUAUUA
Long non-coding RNA from Vicia villosa (hairy vetch), 513 nucleotides. RefSeq lists it as uncharacterized. The transcript is spliced from 2 exons. The record is from RefSeq and is a predicted model, not a curated record. Lineage: Eukaryota; Viridiplantae; Streptophyta; Magnoliopsida; Fabales; Fabaceae.